UUCCUCUUCGCACUUUCCCCUCUUUCUUUAGUCCACCGCGUCAUUACUGCUGUCUACGCCCUCAACAAACCUCUCUUCCGGUUCAGACAAAAGCACGUCUCGAUUUUCAAACUCUGGUUUUCCAUCGGGACUGGUUUCAGUCUAACGGUACUCAUUGGUGUCACUUUGAUUCUUUUCUGGCAAUUAUUCAUGAGCUCCAACACCCGGCUAAGCAACCUUUUCGGUUUCCUCUUAUUCGGGUUUUCUCCUUCUUUAAGAAUCUCAUUGUUCAAUGAUGGAUUUUUAUUCAUCUCCACUUCGGUCUCCGUUUCAGUCCAUGAAUUUGGCCACGCUAUCGCCCUUGCAAGAUUAAAUGCUCUCCGCGACGGACAAUCAUUAGGUAGGCAACGAUGAUUGGGUGACAUGACGAUGACCAGGGCAACAGAGGCAAUGGUGGCUGCUGACGUUUAGGGUUUGCAACAAUUCAGGGCAAUAGCCCAUUUUGCAGCUCUGCCCUGCUCUUAAGGCAACAUGUACAAUGUCAGUUGUAUCAAUCAUUUCAGAAACCAACAAAUCGUACCAUUGUUGUUGCCAAAAUAAAUACCAUAUGUUUAUAGAAAAAGGUAAACAUUGGUUGGUAUUUUGAGAAGCCUCUUCGUUACUUGCUGCAGCUCUUUCUUAUUUUGAUUCGAAUUAUAAUAUUAUGAAUGAAAAAAAUUAAGUUGAAAAUAUCGUCUUUUAUUGAA
Molecule: long non-coding RNA, 725 nt
Organism: Hibiscus syriacus
Lineage: Eukaryota; Viridiplantae; Streptophyta; Magnoliopsida; Malvales; Malvaceae
Exons: 3
Source: RefSeq, a predicted model, not a curated record